Molecule: ribosomal RNA, 1409 nt
Filed under: uncultured bacterium
Lineage: Bacteria
Description: bacterial SSU rRNA
Rfam family: Bacterial small subunit ribosomal RNA
Source: RNAcentral
GUAUGCCUAACACAUGCAAGUCGAACGAAGUCUUCGGACUUAGUGGCGGACGGGUGAGUAACGCGUGAGAAUCUGCCUUGAGGAUGGGGACAACAGUUGGAAACGACUGCUAAUACCCGAUGUGCCGGAAGGUGAAAAUUUUUUGCCUCAAGAGGAGCUCGCGUCUGAUUAGCUAGUUGGUGGGGUAAAAGCGUACCAAGGCAACGAUCAGUAGCUGGUCUGAGAGGAUGAGCAGCCACACUGGGACUGAGACACGGCCCAGACUCCUACGGGAGGCAGCAGUGGGGAAUUUUCCGCAAUGGGCGAAAGCCUGACGGAGCAAUACCGCGUGAGGGAGGAAGGCCUUUGGGUUGUAAACCUCUUUUCUCAGGGAAGAAGAUCUGACGGUACCUGAGGAAUAAGCAUCGGCUAACUCCGUGCCAGCAGCCGCGGUAAUACGGAGGAUGCAAGCGUUAUCCGGAAUUAUUGGGCGUAAAGCGUCCGCAGGUGGUCUUUCAAGUCUGCUGUCAAAGACCAGAGCUUAACUCUGGGCAGGCGGUGGAAACUGAGAGACUAGAGUUCGGUAGGGGUAGCGGGAAUUCCCAGUGUAGCGGUGAAAUGCGUAGAUAUUGGGAAGAACAUCGGUGGCGAAGGCGCGCUACUGGACCGAAACUGACACUCAGGGACGAAAGCUAGGGUAGCGAAAGGGAUUAGAUACCCCUGUAGUCCUAGCUGUAAACGAUGGAAACUAGGUGUGGCUUGUAUCGACCCGAGCCGUGCCGUAGCCAACGCGUUAAGUUUCCCGCCUGGGGAGUACGCACGCAAGUGUGAAACUCAAAGGAAUUGACGGGGGCCCGCACAAGCGGUGGAGUAUGUGGUUUAAUUCGAUGCAACGCGAAGAACCUUACCAGGGCUUGACAUGUCCGGAACUUUUCUGAAAGGAGAAGGUGCCUUCGGGAACCGGAACACAGGUGGUGCAUGGCUGUCGUCAGCUCGUGUCGUGAGAUGUUGGGUUAAGUCCCGCAACGAGCGCAACCCUCGUCUUUAGUUGCCAGCAUUAAGGUGGGCACUCUAGAGAGACUGCCGGUGACAAACCGGAGGAAGGUGAGGAUAACGUCAAGUCAGCAUGCCCCUUACGCCCUGGGCUACACACGUACUACAAUGGUUGGGACAAAGGGCAGCGAACCCGCGAGGGAGAGCGAAUCUCAUCAAACCCAGCCUCAGUUCAGAUUGCUCUCUGCAACUCGAGAGCAUGAAGGAGGAAUCGCUAGUAAUCGCAGGUCAGCAUACUGCGGUGAAUUCGUUCCCGGGCCUUGUACACACCGCCCGUCACACCAUGGAAGCUGGUCACGCCCGAAGUAGUUACCCUAACUUUCGAGAGGGGGACUCCUAAGGCAGGGCUAGUGACUGGGGUGAAGUCGUAACAAGGU